RNAcentral lists this ribosomal RNA (460 nucleotides) under uncultured bacterium. Its description in RNAcentral is "partial 16S ribosomal RNA". It matches the Rfam family "Bacterial small subunit ribosomal RNA", at positions 338 to 795 of the family's 1533-position model. The record is from RNAcentral.
CCUACGGGCGGCAGCAGUGAGGAAUAUUGGUCAAUGGACGCAAGUCUGAACCAGCCAUGCCGCGUGCAGGAAGACGGCUCUAUGAGUUGUAAACUGCUUUUGUACGAGGGUAAACGCAGAUACGCGUAUCUGUCUGAAAGUAUCGUACGAAUAAGGAUCGGCUAACUCCGUGCCAGCAGCCGCGGUAAUACGGAGGAUUCAAGCGUUAUCCGGAUUUAUUGGGUUUAAAGGGUGCGUAGGCGGUCGGAUAAGUUAGAGGUGAAAUCCCGAGGCUCAACUUCGGAAUUGCCUCUGAUACUGGUAGGCUAGAGAGUAGUUGAGGUAGGCGGAAUGUAUGGUGUAGCGGUGAAAUGCUUAGAGAUCAUACAGAACACCGAUUGCGAAGGCAGCUUACCAAGCUACUUCUGACGUUGAGGCACGAAAGCGUGGGGAGCAAACAGGAUUAGAUACCCUAGUAGUC